GAGUGGCGGACGGGUGAGUAACGCGUAGGAAUCUGCCCAUCUGUGGGGGAUACCAGUUGGAAACGACUGUUAAUACCGCAUAAUAUCUGCGGAUUAAAGGUGGCCUUUGUGCUGCCGCAGAUGGAUGAGCCUGCGUUAGAUUAGCUUGUUGGUGGGGUAAGGGCCUACCAAGGCUACGAUCUAUAGCUGAUUUGAGAGGAUGAUCAGCCACAUUGGGACUGAGACACGGCCCAAACUCCUACGGGAGGCAGCAGUGGGGAAUAUUGGACAAUGGGGGAAACCCUGAUCCAGCAAUGCCAUGUGUGUGAAGAAGGCUCUAGGGUUGUAAAGCACUUUAGUUGGGGAGGAAAGCUUAUAGGUUAAUAGCUUAUGAGAAGGACGUUACCCAAAGAAUAAGGACCGGCUAACUCCGUGCCAGCAGCCGCGGUAAUACGGGGGGUCCGAGCGUUAAUCGGAAUUACUGGGCGUAAAGGGUCUGUAGGUGGUUUGUUAAGUCAGAUGUGAAAGCCCAGGGCUCAACCUUGGAACUGCAUUUGAUACUGGCAAACUAGAGUAUGGUAGAGGAAUGGGGAAUUUCUGGUGUAGCGGUGAAAUGCGUAGAGAUCAGAAGGAACACCAAUGGCGAAGGCAACAUUCUGGACCAAUACUGACACUGAGGGACGAAAGCGUGGGGAUCAAACAGGAUUAGAUACCCUGGUAGUCCACGCUGUAAACGAUGAGUACUAGCUGUUGGAUUCGGUGUAAAGGAUCUAGUGGCGCAGCUAACGCGUUAAGUACUCCGCCUGGGGACUACGGCCGCAAGGCUAAAACUCAAAGGAAUUGACGGGGACCCGCACAAGCGGUGGAGCAUGUGGUUUAAUUCGAUGCAACGCGAAGAACCUUACCUGGUCUUGACAUCCUGCGAACUUUCUAGAGAUAGAUUGGUGCCUUCGGGAACGCAGUGACAGGUGCUGCACGGCUGUCGUCAGCUCGUGUUGUGAAAUGUUGGGUUAAGUCCCGCAACGAGCGCAACCCCUAUUGAUAGUUACCAUCAUUAAGUUGGGUACUCUAUUGAGACUGCCGCUGACAAGGCGGAGGAAGGUGGGGACGACGUCAAGUCAUCAUGGCCCUUACGACCAGGGCUACACACGUGCUACAAUGGGUAUUACAGAGGGCUGCGAAGGUGCGAGCUGGAGCGAAACUCAGAAAGGUACUCUUAGUCCGGA
This 1205-nucleotide ribosomal RNA is filed under the name Francisella sp. LA112445. RNAcentral's name for it is "bacterial SSU rRNA". It matches the Rfam family "Bacterial small subunit ribosomal RNA", at positions 93 to 1297 of the family's 1533-position model. The record is from RNAcentral. Lineage: Bacteria; Pseudomonadati; Pseudomonadota; Gammaproteobacteria; Thiotrichales; Francisellaceae.